Molecule: ribosomal RNA, 465 nt
Filed under: uncultured bacterium
Lineage: Bacteria
Description: partial 16S ribosomal RNA
Rfam family: Bacterial small subunit ribosomal RNA
Source: RNAcentral
CCUACGGGUGGCAGCAGUGAGGAAUCUUGCGCAAUGGGGGCAACCCUGACGCAGCAACGCCGCGUGGGUGAAGAAGGUCUUCGGAUUGUAAAGCCCUGUUGAGCGGGAAGAAUAGCCUCUGGGUGAACAGCCUGGAGGUAUGACGGUACCGCUUGAGGAAGCACCGGCUAACUCCGUGCCAGCAGCCGCGGUAAUACGGAGGGUGCAAGCGUUAUUCGGAAUUAUUGGGCGUAAAGGGCGUGUAGGCGGCCAGAUAAGUCAGAGGUGAAAGCCGGGGGCUCAACCCCGGAAGUGCCUUUGAAACUAUCUGGCUUGAGUGCGGGAGAGGAAAGCGAAAUUCCCAGUGUAGAGGUGAAAUGCGUAGAUAUCGGGAGGAACACCAGAGGCGAAGGCGGCUCUCUAUGCUACUCCUGACGCUGAGGCACGAAAGCUAGGGGAGCAAACGGGAUUAGAUCCCCCUGUAGU